RNAcentral lists this long non-coding RNA (1002 nucleotides) under Canis lupus familiaris (dog). RNAcentral describes it as "lncRNA (ENSCAFG00845005981.1)". The record is from RNAcentral. Lineage: Eukaryota; Metazoa; Chordata; Mammalia; Carnivora; Canidae.
AUGAAUGAAAGCCAAAUUUCACCCAUAGGCUGUCAACCGAUGCUCCAAAACUUACUCGCACAAAGUACGCUGAGAAAGAAAUGGGGCUGGGCGAGACCUAACUCGGGCACAGAAGCGGCUUCCAAACCUGGAAGGGAGAAAACAGCGGGUCGGGUCGCGGCUCCAGAAAUUUCCGAGCGCCCGGCUGCGGGCGAGCGGGCGCGGGGCCCGCCGGGGAGGGGGCGGCGGCACCUGUCACUCGCGGCCCCGCCGCCCCGCAGCCCCCGGCCCGCGCCCCGCGAGGUCCCGGGCGGCUCGGCCACGGCCCGGGCGCCGGGGCCUGAGGAGGCGCGGGUCCCCGCCGGCCGCCCCGAGCGCGGCGCCGCGGCCCUUCCCGAGGAGCGGCCCUCCCGCGCCCUGUGCCCGGCGGCUCCGGCCGAGUCCCCGACCGCCUCGCCCGAGGCGCACGCAGCGGCGCGGCCGAGGCGCCACCCCCGCCCCGGGGGCGCCGGCGCUGCCCCCCACGAGGCGGGCCCGCCCUCCGCGUACUCACCGGGCCUCCCCGGCCGCCGGCUCGGCCCUCCUGUCCCUCCUCCCCCCGCCGCCGCCGCCGCUCCCGCGGCUCCGGGGCGGCCGCGCUGGGCGUUGGGACUAGGCUGGGUCAAGGGGCGGGGGCGGGGGCGGGGGCGGGCUCGCGCGGCGGGGCUCGCGCCGCGGGCCAGCGGGCGGGCGCCGGGCACUAACGGGCCCCGCGAGCGGGCGCCGGGCUGGGCGGGCUGGGCGGGCGGGGCGGGCGGAGCGGCCCGCGGCGGGGAGCGCGGCGGCAGCUGCGGGGAGGGGCGGGGAGAGCGCGGCUGCGAGCGAGGGCGGGAGGGAAGUCCCGGCGGAGGGGGCGGCGUGAGAGCCGCGGGGCGGGCCGGGGGCGGGGCCGGGCGCGCCCGCCGCCGCCGCGCGCCGGGGUUUGUUUAUUUCCCCGGUUGGUUGCGGCGCUGGCGCGUGGGGAGAGGUUCGCCGGUGACGUGA